This 484-nucleotide ribosomal RNA is filed under the name uncultured bacterium. RNAcentral's name for it is "partial 16S ribosomal RNA". It matches the Rfam family "Bacterial small subunit ribosomal RNA", at positions 30 to 507 of the family's 1533-position model. The record is from RNAcentral.
AUUGAACGCUAGCGGGAUGCUUUACACAUGCAAGUCGAACGGCAGCGCGGACUUCGGUCUGGCGACGAGUGGCGAACGGGUGAGUAAUGUAUCGGAACGUGCCCAGUAGCGGGGGAUAACUACGCGAAAGCGUAGCUAAUACCGCAUACGCCCUACGGGGGAAAGCAGGGGAUCGUAAGACCUUGCACUAUUGGAGCGGCCGAUAUCGGAUUAGCUAGUUGGUGAGGUAACGGCUCACCAAGGCGACGAUCCGUAGCUGGUUUGAGAGGACGACCAGCCACACUGGGACUGAGACACGGCCCAGACUCCUACGGGAGGCAGCAGUGGGGAAUUUUGGACAAUGGGGGCAACCCUGAUCCAGCCAUCCCGCGUGUGCGAUGAAGGCCUUCGGGUUGUAAAGCACUUUUGGCAGGAAAGAAACGUCGCGGGCUAAUACCCCGUGGAACUGACGGUACCUGCAGAAUAAGCACCGGCUAACUACGUG